Long non-coding RNA from Helianthus annuus (common sunflower), 507 nucleotides. RefSeq lists it as uncharacterized. The transcript is spliced from 3 exons. Lineage: Eukaryota; Viridiplantae; Streptophyta; Magnoliopsida; Asterales; Asteraceae. The record is from RefSeq and is a predicted model, not a curated record.
UGUUUAAAUUUUUUGUUUAUUUACUAGGGUUUAUUUGACUGUGGUUUAAUUUUUUUGGUUACUGGUUUGGAUAUUUUGUCUGUGAUUGUUAGGGAGUUCAUUAAAAAUGUUUUUUAGUUGGAUAAGUCCAAACUAGGGUUACUGGUUUAGUUGUUGAAAAAAUUAUUUGAAUGUUAUUUAAAUUUUUUAUUAAUAUUUAUAUUUAUUUGAAUGUUGUCUAUGAGGGACAUGGUGGACCGGAGACGUCAAGAUUCGUUAACGAGAAUCUGUUUGCUAAUCUCAAGAGAUUUGCGUCUGAGGAUCAAGAUAUGUCUGCGAAUGUUAUCAAGAUAUAGCGUAACCGGUCUGACAUUCAAGAGGUGUAUUACAGUGAAGAGACACAUAAGUUUUCAGUGUCAGCAAUAGAGGAAAGUGUGAAGUUAGAAGGAAGAAUGACCUUUCCUCUUUGGACAGCACUUACAUAGUUGAUCAUGUGUUUUUCUGUGAACGGUUUUAUGAUCCCGAUAA